UAUUCACAUAGCAAGUAUCUUGACUUUUAAUCGAUUGGUCGCAGGUUCGAGCCGAGCGAAGCGAGACAACAACGCGUUAGCGUUGACCCCGAAGGCCGAGUUAUCCUGCACGACCCACCA
Molecule: small RNA, 120 nt
Filed under: Pectobacterium carotovorum
Lineage: Bacteria; Pseudomonadati; Pseudomonadota; Gammaproteobacteria; Enterobacterales; Pectobacteriaceae
Description: RtT sRNA
Rfam family: RtT RNA
About the family: This family represents a bacterial cis-regulatory element known as RtT RNA.
Source: RNAcentral